GACGAACGCUGGCGGCGUGCUUAACACAUGCAAGUCGAACGGAAAGGCCCUGCUUUUGUGGGGUGCUCGAGUGGCGAACGGGUGAGUAACACGUGAGUAUCCUGCCCUUGACUUUGGGAUAACUUCAGGAAACUGGGGCUAAUACCGGAUAUGAGCUCCUGCUGCAUGGUGGGGGUUGGAAAGUUUCGGCGGUUGGGGAUGGACUCGCGGCUUAUCAGCUUGUUGGGGGGGUAGUGGCUUACCAAGGGUUUGACGGGUAGGCGGCCUGGGAGGGCGACCGGCCACAUUGGGACUAGGAUCCGGCCCAGACCCCUACGGGAGGCAGCUGUGGGGAAUAUUGCACACUGGGCGGAAGCCUGAUGCAGCAACGCCGCGUGCUGGAUGAUGGCCUUCGGGUUGUAGACCGAUUUAGCCUCUGACGAAGCGUGCGUGACGGUAAUGGGUAAAGAAGCACCGGCUAACUACGUG
Molecule: ribosomal RNA, 468 nt
Filed under: uncultured bacterium
Lineage: Bacteria
Description: partial 16S ribosomal RNA
Rfam family: Bacterial small subunit ribosomal RNA
Source: RNAcentral